Molecule: long non-coding RNA, 401 nt
Filed under: Setaria viridis
Lineage: Eukaryota; Viridiplantae; Streptophyta; Magnoliopsida; Poales; Poaceae
Description: long non-coding RNA (SVIR_LNC010785)
Source: RNAcentral
UUGCUUACUGUUGCUCAGAAGAAGGUGGUGUGUGAAGUAUUCCAGAGAUGAUGCUGAGAUCUUGGCAUACACAACCCCCAGUUGUUUGCCUAUGAAGUUUGGAGCCUCUGUUUUCAAGAUUAAGCUGUGUAUCUCUGAUGGUUUCAUAAGUCUUUAUUUGUGUUCCUUUAGGUGAUAUCGUUGCAUUUAUUCACUUAUGAUGUCAUUAUAUGUAUAAAACUUGAUCCUGGUAUACAUAUAGGUAGCGCUUGGUUUUGUCCUUAAAACCGGGUGUGACAGGCAGGGCCUUAUGAAUUAUUUUAGUGGUCAGUGAAUUGCCCCAUCUGUUUAAAUGAAAUCAUGAUCAAGUGUUUCAAAAUACUAAUUCAUACCUAGUUGAUCGCUAUUCUGCACUGAGUAAG